GUGGAGCAUGUGGUUUAAUUCGAAGCAACGCGCAGAACCUUACCAGCCUUUGACAUGGCGGGACGGGCGAGAGAGAUUUCGUCCUUCACUUCGGUGACCCGCGCACAGGUGCUGCAUGGCUGUCGUCAGCUCGUGUCGUGAGAUGUUGGGUUAAGUCCCGCAACGAGCGCAACCCACGUCCUCAGUUGCCAUCAUUCAGUUGGGCACUCUGGGGAGACUGCCGGUGAUAAGCCGCGAGGAAGGUGUGGAUGACGUCAAGUCCUCAUGGCCCUUACGGGCUGGGCUACACACGUGCUACAAUGGCGGUGACAGAGGGAUGCCAACCCGCGAGGGUGCGCCAAUCUCGAAAAACCGUCUCAGUUCGGAUUGCACUCUGCAACUCGAGUGCAUGAAGUUGGAAUCGCUAGUAAUCGUGGAUCAGCACGCCACGGUGAAUACGUUCCCGGGCCUUGUACACACCGCCCGUCACACCAUGGGAGUUGGUUCUACCCGAAGGCGCUUCGCCAACCCGCGAGGGAAGCAGGCGACCACGGUAGGG
RNAcentral lists this ribosomal RNA (538 nucleotides) under uncultured bacterium. RNAcentral describes it as "bacterial SSU rRNA". It matches the Rfam family "Bacterial small subunit ribosomal RNA", at positions 932 to 1467 of the family's 1533-position model. The record is from RNAcentral.